Molecule: ribosomal RNA, 24 nt
Filed under: Mirabilis jalapa (garden four-o'clock)
Lineage: Eukaryota; Viridiplantae; Streptophyta; Magnoliopsida; Caryophyllales; Nyctaginaceae
Also listed under: 4 other names
Description: partial 18S ribosomal RNA
Source: RNAcentral
GUGAACCUGCGGAAAGGAUCAUUG